Molecule: non-coding RNA, 73 nt
Organism: Fictibacillus phosphorivorans
Lineage: Bacteria; Bacillati; Bacillota; Bacilli; Caryophanales; Fictibacillaceae
Source: Rfam
CACCCGCUCCAACCGCACAGACCAGGUUUUAAGUAUUUUAUAUACACCUGGGAUGGCGAGUCUGAGUAUAAGA